Molecule: ribosomal RNA, 2929 nt
Filed under: Escherichia coli
Lineage: Bacteria; Pseudomonadati; Pseudomonadota; Gammaproteobacteria; Enterobacterales; Enterobacteriaceae
Description: bacterial LSU rRNA
Rfam family: Bacterial large subunit ribosomal RNA
Source: RNAcentral
GGGUUGUGAGGUUAAGCGACUAAGCGUACACGGUGGAUGCCCUGGCAGUCAGAGGCGAUGAAGGACGUGCUAAUCUGCGAUAAGCGUCGGUAAGGUGAUAUGAACCGUUAUAACCGGCGAUUUCCGAAUGGGGAAACCCAGUGUGUUUCGACACACUAUCAUUAACUGAAUCCAUAGGUUAAUGAGGCGAACCGGGGGAACUGAAACAUCUAAGUACCCCGAGGAAAAGAAAUCAACCGAGAUUCCCCCAGUAGCGGCGAGCGAACGGGGAGGAGCCCAGAGCCUGAAUCAGUGUGUGUGUUAGUGGAAGCGUCUGGAAAGGCGCGCGAUACAGGGUGACAGCCCCGUACACAAAAAUGCACAUAUUGUGAGCUCGAUGAGUAGGGCGGGACACGUGGUAUCCUGUCUGAAUAUGGGGGGACCAUCCUCCAAGGCUAAAUACUCCUGACUGACCGAUAGUGAACCAGUACCGUGAGGGAAAGGCGAAAAGAACCCCGGCGAGGGGAGUGAAAAAGAACCUGAAACCGUGUACGUACAAGCAGUGGGAGCCUCUUUAUGGGGUGACUGCGUACCUUUUGUAUAAUGGGUCAGCGACUUAUAUUCUGUAGCAAGGUUAACCGAAUAGGGGAGCCGAAGGGAAACCGAGUCUUAACUGGGCGUUAAGUUGCAGGGUAUAGACCCGAAACCCGGUGAUCUAGCCAUGGGCAGGUUGAAGGUUGGGUAACACUAACUGGAGGACCGAACCGACUAAUGUUGAAAAAUUAGCGGAUGACUUGUGGCUGGGGGUGAAAGGCCAAUCAAACCGGGAGAUAGCUGGUUCUCCCCGAAAGCUAUUUAGGUAGCGCCUCGUGAAUUCAUCUCCGGGGGUAGAGCACUGUUUCGGCAAGGGGGUCAUCCCGACUUACCAACCCGAUGCAAACUGCGAAUACCGGAGAAUGUUAUCACGGGAGACACACGGCGGGUGCUAACGUUCGUCGUGAAGAGGGAAACAACCCAGACCGCCAGCUAAGGUCCCAAAGUCAUGGUUAAGUGGGAAACGAUGUGGGAAGGCCCAGACAGCCAGGAUGUUGGCUUAGAAGCAGCCAUCAUUUAAAGAAAGCGUAAUAGCUCACUGGUCGAGUCGGCCUGCGCGGAAGAUGUAACGGGGCUAAACCAUGCACCGAAGCUGCGGCAGCGACACUAAGUGUUGUUGGGUAGGGGAGCGUUCUGUAAGCCUGUGAAGGUGUACUGUGAGGUAUGCUGGAGGUAUCAGAAGUGCGAAUGCUGACAUAAGUAACGAUAAAGCGGGUGAAAAGCCCGCUCGCCGGAAGACCAAGGGUUCCUGUCCAACGUUAAUCGGGGCAGGGUGAGUCGACCCCUAAGGCGAGGCCGAAAGGCGUAGUCGAUGGGAAACAGGUUAAUAUUCCUGUACUUGGUGUUACUGCGAAGGGGGGACGGAGAAGGCUAUGUUGGCCGGGCGACGGUUGUCCCGGUUUAAGCGUGUAGGCUGGUUUUCCAGGCAAAUCCGGAAAAUCAAGGCUGAGGCGUGAUGACGAGGCACUACGGUGCUGAAGCAACAAAUGCCCUGCUUCCAGGAAAAGCCUCUAAGCAUCAGGUAACAUCAAAUCGUACCCCAAACCGACACAGGUGGUCAGGUAGAGAAUACCAAGGCGCUUGAGAGAACUCGGGUGAAGGAACUAGGCAAAAUGGUGCCGUAACUUCGGGAGAAGGCACGCUGAUAUGUAGGUGAAGCGACUUGCUCGUGGAGCUGAAAUCAGUCGAAGAUACCAGCUGGCUGCAACUGUUUAUUAAAAACACAGCACUGUGCAAACACGAAAGUGGACGUAUACGGUGUGACGCCUGCCCGGUGCCGGAAGGUUAAUUGAUGGGGUUAGCGCAAGCGAAGCUCUUGAUCGAAGCCCCGGUAAACGGCGGCCGUAACUAUAACGGUCCUAAGGUAGCGAAAUUCCUUGUCGGGUAAGUUCCGACCUGCACGAAUGGCGUAAUGAUGGCCAGGCUGUCUCCACCCGAGACUCAGUGAAAUUGAACUCGCUGUGAAGAUGCAGUGUACCCGCGGCAAGACGGAAAGACCCCGUGAACCUUUACUAUAGCUUGACACUGAACAUUGAGCCUUGAUGUGUAGGAUAGGUGGGAGGCUUUGAAGUGUGGACGCCAGUCUGCAUGGAGCCGACCUUGAAAUACCACCCUUUAAUGUUUGAUGUUCUAACGUUGGCCCCUGAUCGGGGUUGCGGACAGUGUCUGGUGGGUAGUUUGACUGGGGCGGUCUCCUCCUAAAGAGUAACGGAGGAGCACGAAGGUUGGCUAAUCCUGGUCGGACAUCAGGAGGUUAGUGCAAUGGCAUAAGCCAGCUUGACUGCGAGCGUGACGGCGCGAGCAGGUGCGAAAGCAGGUCAUAGUGAUCCGGUGGUUCUGAAUGGAAGGGCCAUCGCUCAACGGAUAAAAGGUACUCCGGGGAUAACAGGCUGAUACCGCCCAAGAGUUCAUAUCGACGGCGGUGUUUGGCACCUCGAUGUCGGCUCAUCACAUCCUGGGGCUGAAGUAGGUCCCAAGGGUAUGGCUGUUCGCCAUUUAAAGUGGUACGCGAGCUGGGUUUAGAACGUCGUGAGACAGUUCGGUCCCUAUCUGCCGUGGGCGCUGGAGAACUGAGGGGGGCUGCUCCUAGUACGAGAGGACCGGAGUGGACGCAUCACUGGUGUUCGGGUUGUCAUGCCAAUGGCACUGCCCGGUAGCUAAAUGCGGAAGAGAUAAGUGCUGAAAGCAUCUAAGCACGAAACUUGCCCCGAGAUGAGUUCUCCCUGAGACUUUAAGUCUCCUGAAGGAACGUUGAAGACGACGACGUUGAUAGGCCGGGUGUGUAAGCGCAGCGAUGCGUUGAGCUAACCGGUACUAAUGAACCGUGAGGCUUAACCUUACAACGCCGAAGGUGUUU